GGUAGCGUGGCCGAGUGGUCUAAGGCGCUGGUUUUAGGCACCGGUCAUUUAUGACGUGGGUUCGAAUCCCACCGCUGCCA
RNAcentral lists this transfer RNA (80 nucleotides) under Dendronephthya gigantea. RNAcentral's name for it is "tRNA-Leu". It matches the Rfam family "tRNA". From Rfam's summary of the family: Transfer RNA (tRNA) molecules are approximately 80 nucleotides in length. Lineage: Eukaryota; Metazoa; Cnidaria; Anthozoa; Malacalcyonacea; Nephtheidae. The record is from RNAcentral.